Long non-coding RNA from Periophthalmus magnuspinnatus, 457 nucleotides. RefSeq lists it as uncharacterized. Lineage: Eukaryota; Metazoa; Chordata; Actinopteri; Gobiiformes; Gobiidae. The transcript has 3 exons. The record is from RefSeq and is a predicted model, not a curated record.
UCGGCUCUGUCCUUCCUCCUACUGUCCUCAGACUCAGCCCUGGAGGAGUUUGACUUGAGGAAAUACCAGGCCUCAGAGACAGCUCUCCUGGGUCUGCUGCCGGUGGUCAGAGUCUGCACCAAAGCCCCUCUUUGUGGCUGUGGACUGUCCCCUCACAGCUGUGGUCCUCUGGCCUCAGUCCUCAGCUCCUCCAGUCUCACACACCUGGAUCUCAGUCACAACGACCUCCAGGACUUAGGAGUGGAGCUGCUGUGUUCUGGACUGAAGAGCGCCCCCUGCAGAUUGAAGACGCUCAGGUUGUCUGGAUGUCUGGUGUCACAGAGGGGCGGAGCUGUUCUUGCCUCAGCUCUGAGCUCCGCCCCUUCCCACCUGAGAGAGUUAAACCUGAGCUACAACCAUCCAGGCCCCUCAGCCGAGCUCCUGACCGCUCUACAGAACCAGCGUCCCCUGCUGUCUG